RNAcentral lists this long non-coding RNA (1498 nucleotides) under Nicotiana tabacum (common tobacco). Its description in RNAcentral is "long non-coding RNA (NTAB_LNC015128)". Lineage: Eukaryota; Viridiplantae; Streptophyta; Magnoliopsida; Solanales; Solanaceae. The record is from RNAcentral.
UUUGACAAUGAUGGAUAACGAUAAGCCCUUGAAUAUUUCGAUUCUUCUUGGAUCGGAAGAGAAAGAUAGACAAAAAAGUGUAAAGGCAAACUUUGUAUGUACAUGACAAAGAGAGAGAAUUUGCAGAGAAUGUCAAUGUUAUUUUUUACAAAAGUGUUCAUAAAAAUUCCCUCUGUAGAACUAAAUCUAUUCGUAUUUAUAAGGGUACACUGGAUACAAAACCCUAGAUAGUACAACAGAGGGGAAUAUUCGCUAGGAUAUUUCCUAAGGAAUCUAAAUCUUUAAAUUAUUUGCAUGCCAAGUACGGAUGCUCGUCCUCGUCCUCGUUUUCUGUUAAGCCACUUCGACCUCGACGACGAUCUGCCUUCGUCGCGUGAUGUCGACCUUUUGAGGUCAGAUUGUCAUGUCACAUCGUCGACACAUUGCAGCCUUCAAAGACUUUAUCUCCGUUGACCUGGUUAACCUAUGACAUGAAGUUUUUUCACUCAUACACUAACAAUAUUAGUACAAUGAAUUUUCUUUGAAUAACUUUGAAAUACUUCAUCUCUUUCAACAAUUAUUAUAGAUAGUGUGGGACAAAUCUGACAUUAAAAGCAAAUGGGGUGCUACUUUAUACUUUACUCUAACAAUUCAGACAAUCAACUUAUGCUUAAAGACCAGUCCACCAUUGUUAAAUCCUAUAUUCUACAUUAAUUCCCACUUUUACGUUUUCUAUUUUCCCUAAUCUUUUUCUUGGCAAUUAUACUAGGCUGGCAGAGGUGGCAUUUGGCCUUUCUGAAAGGGGUUGGUUGAGGUGGGGUUUCAGUUUCUAUUUCUAAUAUUCUGCAAGGACUACAAAAGGAUAUCAAAGAAUAUUGUGUAUCUUCAUGACAUAUUCUUGUAGCGAAUAUUUUAUAUUAUUUUACUGUUAAAAUUUAUAGUGAGAUGGAUAUGAUCUUCUAUCCUUAAUUAGAGGUUUUAGUACUUUUUUUUAAAUCUCUCCCAAAUUUGAAGGAUCUAUAGUGUUUUUACACUUUCCCUCUAGCGUGACUCGAAUUCAGAACCUAACGGACGUAGGUAAAGAUGUUUUUACCAACUGAGCAAGCCUAAAUCCUUAAACUGGUAAAAAUCAUGUUUUGGAUCACUUCUCACUUUAAUGAACCUUAAGUGUAGUCAAUUCAAAUUAAUUAGAACUUUCAUGCAAGUACCAAAAAUAAAAAAUAUUUUCACAUAAAAAUACAAAAUCCAAAUGGAAAACAAAUAACUCACUUCAAGAUUUGCCUCUGCUUCAGUAUCCCAAUAAAAAAGAGAGUCAUUUAAGUAUGUGGAGUCCAAAAGAGCGUCAUUACCAAUUACCCCGUGACCCACCCACGUAGUAUUCCUCCUCCGCCUGGCUUAAAUUCCAGAAAGGAAAAAGGUGAGCAGACCUCCAGGCUCCAACCAAAAGUUGCCAUAUAUUUUUUCACUUUUGUUGCCCUUUAAUUUCCUCUCUGUCUUACUUUGUGUUAGGGAAGUGAAU